RNAcentral lists this ribosomal RNA (2904 nucleotides) under Shigella sonnei. RNAcentral describes it as "23S ribosomal RNA". It matches the Rfam family "Bacterial large subunit ribosomal RNA". The record is from RNAcentral. Lineage: Bacteria; Pseudomonadati; Pseudomonadota; Gammaproteobacteria; Enterobacterales; Enterobacteriaceae.
GGUUAAGCGACUAAGCGUACACGGUGGAUGCCCUGGCAGUCAGAGGCGAUGAAGGACGUGCUAAUCUGCGAUAAGCGUCGGUAAGGUGAUAUGAACCGUUAUAACCGGCGAUUUCCGAAUGGGGAAACCCAGUGUGAUUCGUCACACUAUCAUUAACUGAAUCCAUAGGUUAAUGAGGCGAACCGGGGGAACUGAAACAUCUAAGUACCCCGAGGAAAAGAAAUCAACCGAGAUUCCCCCAGUAGCGGCGAGCGGACGGGGAGCAGCCCAGAGCCUGAAUCAGUGUGUGUGUUAGUGGAAGCGUCUGGAAAGGCGUGCGAUACAGGGUGACAGCCCCGUACACAAAAAUGCACAUAUUGUGAGCUUGAUGAGUAGGGCGGGACACGUGGUAUCCUGUCUGAAUAUGGGGGGACCAUCCUCCAAGGCUAAAUACUCCUGACUGACCGAUAGUGAACCAGUACCGUGAGGGAAAGGCGAAAAGAACCCCGGCGAGGGGAGUGAAAAAGAACCUGAAACCGUGUACGUACAAGCAGUGGGAGCACGCUUAGGCGUGUGACUGCGUACCUUUUGUAUAAUGGGUCAGCGACUUAUAUUCUGUAGCAAGGUUAACCGAAUAGGGGAGCCGAAGGGAAACCGAGUCUUAACUGGGCGUUAAGUUGCAGGGUAUAGACCCGAAACCCGGUGAUCUAGCCAUGGGCAGGUUGAAGGUUGGGUAACACUAACUGGAGGACCGAACCGACUAAUGUUGAAAAAUUAGCGGAUGACUUGUGGCUGGGGGUGAAAGGCCAAUCAAACCGGGAGAUAGCUGGUUCUCCCCGAAAGCUAUUUAGGUAGCGCCUCGUGAAUUCAUCUCCGGGGGUAGAGCACUGUUUCGGCAAGGGGGUCAUCCCGACUUACCAACCCGAUGCAAACUGCGAAUACCGAAGAAUGUUAUCACGGGAGACACACGGCGGGUGCUAACGUCCGUCGUGAAGAGGGAAACAACCCAGACCGCCAGCUAAGGUCCCAAAGUCAUGGUUAAGUGGGAAACGAUGUGGGAAGGCCCAGACAGCCAGGAUGUUGGCUUAGAAGCAGCCAUCAUUUAAAGAAAGCGUAAUAGCUCACUGGUCGAGUCGGCCUGCGCGGAAGAUGUAACGGGGCUAAACCAUGCACCGAAGCUGCGGCAGCGACGCUUAUGCGUUGUUGGGUAGGGGAGCGUUCUGUAAGCCUGCGAAGGUGUGCUGUGAGGCAUGCUGGAGGUAUCAGAAGUGCGAAUGCUGACAUAAGUAACGAUAAAGCGGGUGAAAAGCCCGCUCGCCGGAAGACCAAGGGUUCCUGUCCAACGUUAAUCGGGGCAGGGUGAGUCGACCCCUAAGGCGAGGCCGAAAGGCGUAGUCGAUGGGAAACAGGUUAAUAUUCCUGUACUUGGUGUUACUGCGAAGGGGGGACGGAGAAGGCUAUGUUGGCCGGGCGACGGUUGUCCCGGUUUAAGCGUGUAGGCUGGUUUUCCAGGCAAAUCCGGAAAAUCAAGGCUGAGGCGUGAUGACGAGGCACUACGGUGCUGAAGCAACAAAUGCCCUGCUUCCAGGAAAAGCCUCUAAGCAUCAGGUAACAUCAAAUCGUACCCCAAACCGACACAGGUGGUCAGGUAGAGAAUACCAAGGCGCUUGAGAGAACUCGGGUGAAGGAACUAGGCAAAAUGGUGCCGUAACUUCGGGAGAAGGCACGCUGAUAUGUAGGUGAAGUCCCUCGCGGAUGGAGCUGAAAUCAGUCGAAGAUACCAGCUGGCUGCAACUGUUUAUUAAAAACACAGCACUGUGCAAACACGAAAGUGGACGUAUACGGUGUGACGCCUGCCCGGUGCCGGAAGGUUAAUUGAUGGGGUCAGCGCAAGCGAAGCUCUUGAUCGAAGCCCCGGUAAACGGCGGCCGUAACUAUAACGGUCCUAAGGUAGCGAAAUUCCUUGUCGGGUAAGUUCCGACCUGCACGAAUGGCGUAAUGAUGGCCAGGCUGUCUCCACCCGAGACUCAGUGAAAUUGAACUCGCUGUGAAGAUGCAGUGUACCCGCGGCAAGACGGAAAGACCCCGUGAACCUUUACUAUAGCUUGACACUGAACAUUGAGCCUUGAUGUGUAGGAUAGGUGGGAGGCUUUGAAGUGUGGACGCCAGUCUGCAUGGAGUCGACCUUGAAAUACCACCCUUUAAUGUUUGAUGUUCUAACGUGGACCCGUGAUCCGGGUUGCGGACAGUGUCUGGUGGGUAGUUUGACUGGGGCGGUCUCCUCCUAAAGAGUAACGGAGGAGCACGAAGGUUGGCUAAUCCUGGUCGGACAUCAGGAGGUUAGUGCAAUGGCAUAAGCCAGCUUGACUGCGAGCGUGACGGCGCGAGCAGGUGCGAAAGCAGGUCAUAGUGAUCCGGUGGUUCUGAAUGGAAGGGCCAUCGCUCAACGGAUAAAAGGUACUCCGGGGAUAACAGGCUGAUACCGCCCAAGAGUUCAUAUCGACGGCGGUGUUUGGCACCUCGAUGUCGGCUCAUCACAUCCUGGGGCUGAAGUAGGUCCCAAGGGUAUGGCUGUUCGCCAUUUAAAGUGGUACGCGAGCUGGGUUUAGAACGUCGUGAGACAGUUCGGUCCCUAUCUGCCGUGGGCGCUGGAGAACUGAGGGGGGCUGCUCCUAGUACGAGAGGACCGGAGUGGACGCAUCACUGGUGUUCGGGUUGUCAUGCCAAUGGCACUGCCCGGUAGCUAAAUGCGGAAGAGAUAAGUGCUGAAAGCAUCUAAGCACGAAACUUGCCCCGAGAUGAGUUCUCCCUGACCCUUUAAGGGUCCUGAAGGAACGUUGAAGACGACGACGUUGAUAGGCCGGGUGUGUAAGCGCAGCGAUGCGUUGAGCUAACCGGUACUAAUGAACCGUGAGGCUUAACCUU